Molecule: ribosomal RNA, 253 nt
Filed under: uncultured bacterium
Lineage: Bacteria
Description: partial 16S ribosomal RNA
Rfam family: Bacterial small subunit ribosomal RNA
Source: RNAcentral
UACAGAGGUCCCGAGCGUUGUUCGGAUUCACUGGGCGUAAAGGGUGCGUAGGUGGCAGUGUAAGUCUGAUGUGAAAGCUUCGAGCUUAACUCGAAAAUGGCAUUGGAUACUAUAUUGCUGGAGGUUUGGAGGGGGGACUGGAAUUCUCGGUGUAGCAGUGAAAUGCGUAGAUAUCGAGAGGAACACCGGUGGCGAAGGCGAGUCCCUGGACAACACCUGACACUGAGGCACGAAAGCUAGGGGAGCAAACAGG